This 481-nucleotide ribosomal RNA is filed under the name uncultured bacterium. RNAcentral describes it as "partial 16S ribosomal RNA". It matches the Rfam family "Bacterial small subunit ribosomal RNA", at positions 28 to 507 of the family's 1533-position model. The record is from RNAcentral.
GACGAACGCUGGCGGCGUGCUUAACACAUGCAAGUCGAACGGGAUCCGGGCUUUCGGGUUUGGUGAGAGUGGCGAACGGGUGAGUAACACGUGAGUAACCUGCCCCCUUCUUUGGGAUAACGUCGGGAAAUCGGCGCUAAUACUGGAUAUUCUUGCUGCAUCGCAUGGUGUGGUUUGGAAAGGGUUUCUGGUGGGGGAUGGGCUCGCGGCCUAUCAGCUUGUUGGUGGGGUGAUGGCCUACCAAGGCUUUGACGGGUAGCCGGCCUGAGAGGGUGUCCGGCCACACUGGGACUGAGACACGGCCCAGACUCCUACGGGAGGCAGCAGUGGGGAAUAUUGCACAAUGGGCGCAAGCCUGAUGCAGCGACGCCGCGUGAGGGAUGACGGCCUUCGGGUGGUAAACCUCUUUCAGUAUGGAACAAGGAUCCUUCUUUUGGGGGGUUUGAGGGUACGUGCAGAAGAAGCGCCGGCUAACUACGUG